AUGAUUAUCACACCUAGGGGAGGCCAUUUGAUUUCUAAGGUGAGUGACUUAAUUGAUCCAUCAACGGGUCAGUGGGAUGUCGACCUUGUUGAGCAAACCUUUUGGCCCAUUGAUGCAGUAAGAGUUCUUGCUAUACCAUUAUCGACAAACGAUAUGACUGAUUUUAUUGCUUGGAGUCUGAAUAAGCAUGGAAACUUUACUGUCAAAUCGGCUUACCAUACUGUCUGGGAUUACCAACAUGGACGUAAACUAUGGAAAAUUGAUGGUUUGGGCGCCUCAGGCGCUAACCCAACAUGGCAAAAAGUUUGGAAACUUAACUGUCCAGCAAAGGUAAAAAUCUUUCUCUGGCGAACACUACAUGGAACUAUGCCUUGUAAUGUUGUUCUUGCAAAUCGUCAUAUACCUGUUAGACCGGCGUGUCCAGCAUGUGGCCGAAGUGCGGAAGAUGUUUUGCAUGUGUUGUUUCGAUGCAAAAAAGCCAAGGAAGUGUGGCGCCUCCUAGGACUAGAAGAUGUUAUAGCGCAUGCAUGCAAAGUGGAUCGAGCGGGGGAAGCAAUACUUGCUUAUUUGCUGAAUUUUCCCGCACAGGAGGCGGUCGUUCUAGGCGUUAAAAAUUUCUAUGAGCUCAUGUCUAUCACUUGCUGUUAUCUUUGGUGGGAAAGACGGAAACUAGUUCACAAGGAGCAUGUGCUAAGAUGCGAAAAGAAUUUCACAAUCUGUGAGAGCGAUGGCAGAAAAUGUUGUUAUUGCAUGUGA
Molecule: ribosomal RNA, 756 nt
Filed under: Triticum aestivum (bread wheat)
Lineage: Eukaryota; Viridiplantae; Streptophyta; Magnoliopsida; Poales; Poaceae
Description: partial small subunit ribosomal RNA
Source: RNAcentral